RNAcentral lists this ribosomal RNA (2347 nucleotides) under Affinundibacterium seohonense. Its description in RNAcentral is "partial 23S ribosomal RNA". It matches the Rfam family "Bacterial large subunit ribosomal RNA", at positions 461 to 2819 of the family's 2925-position model. The record is from RNAcentral. Lineage: Bacteria; Pseudomonadati; Pseudomonadota; Betaproteobacteria; Burkholderiales; Oxalobacteraceae.
CAAGGCUAAAUACUCGAUAUCGACCGAUAGUGAACCAGUACCGUGAGGGAAAGGCGAAAAGAACCCCGGAAGGGGAGUGAAAUAGAACCUGAAACCGUGUGCAUACAAACAGUAGGAGCGGACUUGUUCCGUGACUGCGUACCUUUUGUAUAAUGGGUCAGCGACUUACAUUCAGUGGCAAGGUUAACCGUAUAGGGAAGCCGUAGAGAAAUCGAGUCCGAAUAGGGCGACAGUCGCUGGGUGUAGACCCGAAACCAAGUGAUCUACUCAUGGCCAGGAUGAAGGUGCCGUAACAGGUACUGGAGGUCCGAACCCACUAAUGUUGAAAAAUUAGGGGAUGAGCUGUGGGUAGGGGUGAAAGGCUAAACAAACUUGGAAAUAGCUGGUUCUCUCCGAAAACUAUUUAGGUAGUGCCUCAAGUAUCACCAACGGGGGUAGAGCACUGUUAUGGCUAGGGGGUCAUCGCGACUUACCAAACCAUUGCAAACUCCGAAUACCGUUGAGUGCGAGCUUGGGAGACAGACAUCGGGUGCUAACGUCCGGUGUCAAGAGGGAAACAACCCAGACCGCCAGCUAAGGUCCCAAAGUAUAGCUAAGUGGAAAACGAAGUGGGAAGGCUAAAACAGUCAGGAGGUUGGCUUAGAAGCAGCCACCCUUUAAAGAAAGCGUAAUAGCUCACUGAUCGAGUCGUCCUGCGCGGAAGAUGUAACGGGGCUAAGCUAUACACCGAAGCUGCGGAUAUCCUUUUAGGAUAUGGUAGGAGAGCGUUCUGUAAGCCUGCGAAGGUGUCUUGUAAAGGAUGCUGGAGGUAUCAGAAGUGCGAAUGCUGACAUGAGUAGCGAUAAUGGGAGUGAAAAGCUCCCACGCCGUAAGCCCAAGGUUUCCUGUUCAACGUUCAUCGGAGCAGGGUGAGUCGGCCCCUAAGGCGAGGCAGAGAUGCGUAGCUGAUGGGAAGCAGGUUAAUAUUCCUGCACCGUCGUAUGAUGCGAUGGGGGGACGGAUCGCGGAAGGUCGUCAGGCGGUUGGAAGAGCCUGUUCUUGACUUGUAGAAGGUGCUUAGGCAAAUCCGGGCACAUAAUUCAAGGGGUUGAGACGAGUGAAUUUAUUCACGAAGCGAUCGGAAGUGGUUCCAAGAAAAGCCUCUAAGCUUCAGUCAUACGAGACCGUACCGCAAACCGACACAGGUGGGCGAGAUGAGUAUUCUAAGGCGCUUGAGAGAACUCGGGAGAAGGAACUCGGCAAAUUGGUACCGUAACUUCGGGAUAAGGUACGCCCUUGUAGUUUGACCCCCCUGCGGGGGAAGGAUGAAAGGGUUGCAAUAAACUGGUGGCUGCAACUGUUUAAUAAAAACACAGCACUAUGCAAACACGAAAGUGGACGUAUAUGGUGUGACUCCUGCCCGGUGCUGGAAGAUUAAAUGAUGGGGUGCAAGCUCUUGAUUGAAGUCCCAGUAAACGGCGGCCGUAACUAUAACGGUCCUAAGGUAGCGAAAUUCCUUGUCGGGUAAGUUCCGACCUGCACGAAUGGAGUAAUGAUGGCCACACUGUCUCCUCCCGAGACUCAGCGAAGUUGAAAUGUUUGUGAUGAUGCAAUCUACCCGCGGCUAGACGGAAAGACCCCAUGAACCUUUACUGUAGCUUUGCAUUGGACUUUGAACCAAUCUGUGUAGGAUAGGUGGGAGGCUUUGAAGCGGGGACGCCAGUUCUCGUGGAGCCAUCCUUGAAAUACCACCCUGGUUUGUUUGAGGUUCUAACCUUGGCCCAUUAUCUGGGUCGGGGACAGUGCAUGGUAGGCAGUUUGACUGGGGCGGUCUCCUCCCAAAGUGUAACGGAGGAGUUCGAAGGUACGCUAGUUACGGUCGGACAUCGUGACGAUAGUGCAAUGGCAUAAGCGUGCUUAACUGCGAGACUGACAAGUCGAGCAGGUACGAAAGUAGGACAUAGUGAUCCGGUGGUUCUGUAUGGAAGGGCCAUCGCUCAACGGAUAAAAGGUACUCUGGGGAUAACAGGCUGAUUCCUCCCAAGAGUUCAUAUCGACGGGGGAGUUUGGCACCUCGAUGUCGGCUCAUCACAUCCUGGGGCUGUAGCCGGUCCCAAGGGUAUGGCUGUUCGCCAUUUAAAGUGGUACGUGAGCUGGGUUUAAAACGUCGUGAGACAGUUUGGUCCCUAUCUGCCGUGGGCGUUGGAAGUUUGAAGGGGGCUGCUCCUAGUACGAGAGGACCGGAGUGGACGAACCUCUGGUGUAUCGGUUGUCACGCCAGUGGCAUUGCCGAGUAGCUAUGUUCGGAAGAGAUAACCGCUGAAAGCAUCUAAGCGGGAAACUCGCCUUAAGAUGAGACUUCCCAGAG